CCUUUCACCCCUCAGUUGUGAAAGGCAAAAUGGCAGCGUCCAUACCAGGCGUUGGAAGGAUUUUAUGCCCUUCCAAAGAGCUUACCUGUUAGGCGUUGGACCCAGGCUGUGUUUCCAAGUGUGAAGUCCAGCCUCUCUCUGUGCACUGCAGCCUAACCUGAAAUCCCCAGUGACGCUGCUGUGGCAAGGACAGACCAUGGGGCUACCUGGAGAGCAACGAGUACAUAGAGCGCUAUGGACAAGUCCAGUGUGGUCUGACUAAAGAGGAACCAGAAUGGAGGGAUUCCCCCUCAGAAGACACGCAAGACCUGCAUUAGGAGACAGGAUAUGUGGGAACCCUUGUCCAAUUUGUUGAGACACCAUCAUCCAAUAUCAGAAUGUGAAGCUGCUGCAAAAGUUUAUAAGCCCAUAUACAAGCGUUGUGUAUGACCCCACACGGACAGGGCUACUACCCGUCCAGGUUCCUCAUGUGGACUUCUCAGGGGAGGACUAUUCCAACCCCCAUGACGCAGUUGGCUCGGCCCCUCCUCCCCCACCAUGACCCCUUGGUACAGGUGGUACCACACCAUACAGCCAGACGAGACUGAAGUGGCUCAAGUCAAGAAGACCAACGAGGCCUAUUUGACAUAGACUAGGGCCUUACAGAGGAAUCAUGGUGAAAUUAUUUUUUGUGAUUUAAUUUGGACUUUCUGGAAGUAGUAGAGCACUGGUAGAUCAUUGUACCAUCUAAACUGCAGUGUGAAAUCUUUUCCAUAACCAAAGAUAUUGUAUUUUCAGAUGGUGUACAAAACCAAGAUGCUAAAAGUAAACUUAAGCAUAGAAAUAGCGCACGGAACAUAUUACUGCUUCUUGGAUUUGCUUUCAGCGAGUGACAGAUUCACAUUUCUGUGAAUUUGGUCAGGUCGCACUAAAAGUUACAUAUUGCAGCUUUAAAACAAGUUAUAAAAUAUUGUUUAUGGCAA
Salvelinus namaycush (lake trout) is the source of this 962-nucleotide long non-coding RNA. RefSeq lists it as uncharacterized. The record is from RefSeq and is a predicted model, not a curated record. The transcript is spliced from 6 exons. Lineage: Eukaryota; Metazoa; Chordata; Actinopteri; Salmoniformes; Salmonidae.